This 259-nucleotide ribosomal RNA is filed under the name uncultured bacterium. RNAcentral describes it as "partial 16S ribosomal RNA". It matches the Rfam family "Bacterial small subunit ribosomal RNA", at positions 793 to 1055 of the family's 1533-position model. The record is from RNAcentral.
GUCCAUGCCGUAAACGGUGGGCGCUAGGUGUAGGGGCUUCCACGUCUUCUGUGCCGUAGCUAACGCAUUAAGCGCCCCGCCUGGGGAGUACGGCCGCAAGGCUAAACUCAAAGGAAUUGACGGGGCCCGCACAAGCGGCGGAGCAUGUGGAUUAAUUCGAUGCAACGCGAAGAACCUUACCUGGGCUUGACAUGUACCGGAUCGGGCUAGAGAUAGUCUUUCCCUUGUGGUCGGUAUACAGGUGGUGCAUGGUUGUCGU